Molecule: ribosomal RNA, 32 nt
Filed under: Gillisella vitis
Lineage: Bacteria; Pseudomonadati; Pseudomonadota; Alphaproteobacteria; Hyphomicrobiales; Rhizobiaceae
Description: Agrobacterium vitis partial 23S rRNA 1.3-kb fragment A
Source: RNAcentral
AUAAGGUAUCUUAUCCUGAAUACAUAGGGGUA